GACGAACGCUGGCGGCGUGCUUAACACAUGCGAGUCGAACGAUGAACCCGGAGCUUGCUCUGGGGGAUUAGUGGCGAACGGGUGAGUAACACGUGAGUAACCUGCCCUGGACUCUGGGAUAAGCGUUGGAAACGACGUCUAAUACCGGAUAGGACCUUGGAUCGCAUGAUCUGGGGUGGAAAGUUUUUUCGGUCUGGGAUGGACUCGCGGCCUAUCAGCUUGUUGGUGAGGUAAUGGCUCACCAAGGCGUCGACGGGUAGCCGGCCUGAGAGGGUGACCGGCCACACUGGGACUGAGACACGGCCCAGACUCCUACGGGAGGCAGCAGUGGGGAAUAUUGCACAAUGGGCGAAAGCCUGAUGCAGCAACGCCGCGUGCGGGAUGACGGCCUUCGGGUUGUAAACCGCUUUUAGUAGGGAAGAAGGGCUUCGGCUUGACGGUACCUGCAGAAAAAGGACCGGCUAACUACGUG
This 472-nucleotide ribosomal RNA is filed under the name uncultured bacterium. Its description in RNAcentral is "partial 16S ribosomal RNA". It matches the Rfam family "Bacterial small subunit ribosomal RNA", at positions 28 to 507 of the family's 1533-position model. The record is from RNAcentral.